GAAGGGACUGUCUAGUAAAUUAUCUAGUGGGACAGGUGAAGGGGCUGUCUAGUAAAUUAUCUAGUGGGACAGGUGAAGGGACUGUCUAGUAAAUUAUCUAGUGGGACAGGUGAAGGGACUGUCUAGUAAAUUAUCUAGUGGGACAGGUGAAGGGACUGUCUAGUAAAUUAUCUAGUGGGACAGGUAAAGGGACUGUCUAGUAAAUUAUCCAGUGGGACAGGUGAAGGGACUGUCUAGUAAAUAAUCUAGUGGGACAGGUGAAGGGACUGUCUAGUAAAUUAUCUAGUGGGACAGGUGAAGGGACUGUCUAGUAAAUAAUCUAGUGGGACAGGUGAAGGGACUGUCUAGUAAAUUAUCUAGUGGGACAGGUGAAGGGACUGUCUAGUAAAUUAUCUAGUGGGACAGGUGAAGGGACUGUAUAGUAAAUUAUCUAGUGGGACAGGUGAAGGG
Long non-coding RNA from Esox lucius (northern pike), 450 nucleotides. Lineage: Eukaryota; Metazoa; Chordata; Actinopteri; Esociformes; Esocidae. The record is from Ensembl.